RNAcentral lists this ribosomal RNA (253 nucleotides) under uncultured bacterium. Its description in RNAcentral is "partial 16S ribosomal RNA". It matches the Rfam family "Bacterial small subunit ribosomal RNA", at positions 524 to 776 of the family's 1533-position model. The record is from RNAcentral.
UACGUAGGUGGCAAGCGAUACUCGGAAUCUCUAGGCGUAAAGCGCAGGUAGGAGGUUUAGUAAGUCUGUUGUGACAGCUCCCGGCUUAACUGGGAGAGGACAACGGAAACUGCUAGGCUAGAGUGCGGUAGAGGUAGCUGGAAUUCCCGGUGUAGCGGUGAAAUGCGUAGAUAUCGGGAGGAAUACCUAUGGCGAAAGCAGGCUACUGGACCGUCACUGACUCUGAUCUGCGAAAGCUAGGGGAGCAAACAGG